GUCUCCGUGGCGCAAUUGGUUAGCGCGUUCGGCUGUUAACCGAAAGGUUGGUGGCUCAAGCCACCCGGGGACA
This 73-nucleotide transfer RNA is filed under the name Desmophyllum pertusum. RNAcentral describes it as "Lophelia pertusa tRNA". It matches the Rfam family "tRNA". Rfam says of the family: Transfer RNA (tRNA) molecules are approximately 80 nucleotides in length. Their secondary structure includes four short double-helical elements and three loops (D, anti-codon, and T loops). Further hydrogen bonds mediate the characteristic L-shaped molecular structure. tRNAs have two regions of fundamental functional importance: the anti-codon, which is responsible for specific mRNA codon recognition, and the 3' end, to which the tRNAs corresponding amino acid is attached (by aminoacyl-tRNA synthetases). tRNAs cope with the degeneracy of the genetic code in two manners: having more than one tRNA (with a specific anti-codon) for a particular amino acid; and 'wobble' base-pairing, i.e. permitting non-standard base-pairing at the 3rd anti-codon position. Lineage: Eukaryota; Metazoa; Cnidaria; Anthozoa; Scleractinia; Caryophylliidae. The record is from Rfam by way of RNAcentral.